This 2965-nucleotide unclassified non-coding RNA is filed under the name Lucilia cuprina (Australian sheep blowfly). RNAcentral describes it as "phosphatidylinositol 4-phosphate 5-kinase type-1 alpha, transcript variant X5". The record is from RNAcentral. Lineage: Eukaryota; Metazoa; Arthropoda; Insecta; Diptera; Calliphoridae.
AGACAAUUCACCAUAUAAGAAGAGUAGUAGCUCCAAGGUUUUUACAACAUUCAGUCAGUGUUAUAAUUUUUUUCAUUUUUGGUAGUAGUUGAAUUCUGUGUGAUUGUUAAGACCAGAGUGAUUAAGUAACCAACCAACCAGCCAAUAAACUAACUAACUAACCAACCUACUAAACUAAAGCAAUAAAUCAAAAUAUUUAGUGCAAAUUUUCUUCUUUUUUGUGUGUGUAUGUGAUUUAAACAAGAGAAAAUAAAAUUAAUAAAACAAAUUGUUCUAAAAUCAUAAUGUAAAAAAUAAGUAAUAUUUAAACCGACGAAGAAAAAGAUAUAGAAAAUAGAGAAUACUACCUUUAAGUUGAUAAAUCAAUCAUCGUGUACACUGUAUAUGACAAAUAAUACUCAUCUUAUAAACAUUCUAAUUAAUUAUUAAUUAAAUAAUUACAUAGUUUAAAAACAAUUAGGUUUUCUAUAUAACUUUUCUAAAACCAAGUGAAACAAAGUUUUAAAAGAACUAAAGAACGGCUACAAAAAAUGGCUUCAGGUGAUGGUAUUAGCACCAUAGAUCCGGAUGUUUCCUCUACAUCUAAUACAAAAGUUACCGAAGAUGCUUUGGACUUAUCUAUAUCCGAUUCCCAAAGUAAGCAACGCAGUAAGACCGAUAAGGAAAGAAAAAUCGGUCAUAGGCGUGUGGGAGAAGGUGGUGAGAUUACGUAUAAGAAAAUACAAACAUCACAAAUUAUGGGUUCUAUACAAUUGGGUAUACAGCAUACGGUUGGUAGUUUAGCAUCAAAACCAAAACGUGAUUUACUUAUGAUGGACUUUUGGGAAAUUGAAAGUAUAACCUUUCCUCCUGAAGGUUCUAGCCUUACGCCUGCCCACCAUUAUAGUGAAUUCAGAUAUAAAAUAUAUGCGCCUAUUGCAUUUCGUUAUUUUAGAGACUUGUUUGGCAUACAGCCGGACGAUUUUAUGAUGUCGAUGUGUUCAUCACCUUUAAGAGAACUAUCGAAUCCGGGUGCUUCCGGUUCCAUAUUUUAUCUAACACAUGAUGAUGAGUUUAUAAUUAAAACAGUUCAGCACAAAGAGGGUGAAUUUUUGCAAAAACUACUACCAGGUUAUUAUAUGAAUUUAAAUCAAAAUCCUCGUACCCUUUUGCCGAAAUUCUUCGGUUUAUAUUGUUUGCAAACAAGUAAUGCCAAAAAUAUUCGUUUGGUUGUUAUGAACAAUUUGCUGCCUUCAUAUGUAAAGAUGCAUCUAAAAUAUGAUCUCAAGGGUUCCACUUUCAAGCGUAAAGCAAAUAAGGCUGAACGAUCCAAAAAAUCACCCACAUUUAAGGAUUUGGAUUUUAUGGAACAUCAUCCAAAUGGCAUACUCCUGGAAGCUGAAACAUAUUCGGCUUUAAUUAAGACCAUACAAAGAGAUUGCACAGUUUUGGAGUCAUUUAAAAUCAUGGACUAUUCGCUGCUAGUCGGUGUACACAAUUUAGAUUUGGCUUCGAAGGAGAAGCAAAAGACCCGUAAGCCACGUAAGGCCUCGCAGUCGGAUUAUUCAGACACCGAAGAGGCGGCCAGAGCAAAUGAUCCUGAAUACGAUAAUCAGGCUGAAGAAACUCAAAGCAAUAUAAAUCGCAAUAGUUUGGCCUAUAGGUCCAAUCGCCAACGUUUAGUGGCUCAUUCUACGGCCAUGGAAAGUAUACAGGCGGAAAGUGAACCCAUCGAUGAUGAAGAGGACAUGCCUCCUGGAGGUAUACCUGCACGCAGUGAAAAAGGUGAAAGACUCUUACUUUUUAUAGGUAUUAUCGAUAUUUUACAAUCAUAUCGACUGAAGAAAAAAUUAGAGCACACUUUUAAAAGUAUUAUACAUGAUGGGGAUACGGUCUCGGUGUGUCGUCCUUCAUUUUAUGCUCAAAGAUUUCAAAAUUUCAUGGCCAAAACUGUAUUUCGUAAAAUACCAUCUCUGGAUCUCCCCGAGAUCAAAGGAAAUCAUAGAAAAUUUCGUACUUUGGUAUCCAGUUACAUAGCUCUUAAACAUUCACCCUCGAAAAGAAAAAGUCUCUCGAAAGCAAUACAACGUUCCAUAGACAGUGAAAACGAGCAAAGAGAACAUAGUCAAAGUCAUGCCCACGCCACAGCGGUACAUGCCAAUAAAAAAUCACAUGCUUCGAAUAAAGCGAUGAGUGCACAUACGACUGGCGAUGAAAGGAGUUCCGGGCAUGCGGCCUCUUCAAGUUCGUCUGUAUUGAAAACUAUACAAGCUCCACCGGUAAAACAACGUUCGGCUGCUGCUGCUAGUAGUGGCUCAACACUUAAAGCCAAAGUUCCACCUCCAGUACCGCCAAGAGGAUCACCACGUAAACGUGAUAGUGAUGCUUAUCAACAACAGGAAGGCGGCUCUUCAAGAGCUCUCUCCACCACUCCAGGCACAACGCCAUCUUGCAGUUCGACACCACCCCCUGCCUUUGAUGACAUUUCCGAGGACAAUAGUUAUAAUAAACAUAGUUCCUCAACGAUUUCAAGGCGAUCUCAUCAACAGCAACAUCACCAUCAUCAUCAGCACCACCACCACCAUCACCAAAAGUCGCAUCAACAAAACGAAACAUCAACAUCGUCUUCGUCGUAUCAUGAUCGUAAAAUGAAUGUGGGUCCUGCCUAUCGCAGUUCAUCGUCUUCGCAAAAAGAUGAUAUGGUCAGCCGUAGAUACAUCAUCGAGUAGUCACUAUGGUUCGAGGGGCGGCUUAGCCUGGACACCACCAGCGUCUGGUGAAGGUUCAACACCCACCUGGACCGAGGGUACACCAAGUUUUACCGAUUCCAGUUCAAGUGGCGAUUUUGACAAUAAUUCAUUAAUUUCAGAACAUUUCUCUCCAAUAAAUUCAUCGAAAAUGGAUCGUUAUAAGCCAACUGUUGAAGAUGCCAUUAACUCUCUAUCAGCGGAAAUAGUUAAUGAUCGCCAUUGAAAUUUUUUCAAAU